This 37-nucleotide transfer RNA is filed under the name Lamprolepis smaragdina. RNAcentral's name for it is "partial tRNA-Tyr". Lineage: Eukaryota; Metazoa; Chordata; Lepidosauria; Squamata; Scincidae. The record is from RNAcentral.
UUGGUAAGGACGGGGUUAAACCCGCCUGCACAGGGCU